GGCCCUUUAGCUCAGAUGGUUAGAGCAGUCGACUCAUAAUCGAUUGGUCACUGGUUCAAAUCCAGUAAGGGCCA
This 74-nucleotide transfer RNA is filed under the name Yersinia phage phiR1-RT. It matches the Rfam family "tRNA". Rfam says of the family: Transfer RNA (tRNA) molecules are approximately 80 nucleotides in length. Their secondary structure includes four short double-helical elements and three loops (D, anti-codon, and T loops). The record is from Rfam by way of RNAcentral. Lineage: Duplodnaviria; Heunggongvirae; Uroviricota; Caudoviricetes; Pantevenvirales; Straboviridae.